This 107-nucleotide small nucleolar RNA is filed under the name Cephalotus follicularis. RNAcentral describes it as "Plant small nucleolar RNA R71". It matches the Rfam family "Plant small nucleolar RNA R71". From Rfam's summary of the family: R71 is a member of the C/D box family of snoRNAs containing the C (UGAUGA) and D (CUGA) box motifs. Multiple nearly identical copies of this snoRNA have been identified in Arabidopsis, and it is thought to function as a 2'-O-ribose methylation guide for 18S ribosomal RNA. Lineage: Eukaryota; Viridiplantae; Streptophyta; Magnoliopsida; Oxalidales; Cephalotaceae. The record is from Rfam by way of RNAcentral.
AGACCAUGAUGAGGACACUAUAGGAGAAGGUCUUUGAAACGUUCCAUGCAUCGAGAAAAUAAUUCAUUGGGUCAUUGGCAAAACUGGAGAAUGUCGUUCCUAAGCUU